This 169-nucleotide ribosomal RNA is filed under the name uncultured bacterium. RNAcentral's name for it is "partial 16S ribosomal RNA". It matches the Rfam family "Bacterial small subunit ribosomal RNA", at positions 337 to 524 of the family's 1533-position model. The record is from RNAcentral.
UCCUACGGGAGGCAGCAGUGGGGAAUAUUGCACAAUGGGCGGAAGCCUGACGCGCAACGCCGCGUGAGGGAUGAAGGCCUUCGGGUUGUAAACCUCUUUUAUCAGGGAAGAUAAUGACGGUACCUGAUGAAUAAGUCACGGCUAACUACGUGCCAGCAGCCGCGGUAAU